CAGUCGCCGCGGUAAUACGAAGGGGGCUAGCGUUGUUCGGAUUUACUGGGCGUAAAGGGUGCGUAGGCGGGUUGCUAAGUCAGGGGUGAAAUCCCGAGGCUCAACCUCGGAACUGCCUUUAAUACUGGCGAUCUUGAGUCCGGGAGAGGUGAGUGGAACUGCGAGUGUAGAGGUGAAGUUCGUAGAUAUUCGCAAGAACACCGGUGGCGAAGGCGGCUCACUGGCCCGGAACUGACGCUGAGGCACGAAAGCGUGGGGAGCGAACAGGAUUAGAUACCCCAGUAGUCCCUGUCUCUUAUAC
Molecule: ribosomal RNA, 301 nt
Filed under: uncultured bacterium
Lineage: Bacteria
Description: partial 16S ribosomal RNA
Rfam family: Bacterial small subunit ribosomal RNA
Source: RNAcentral